This 642-nucleotide ribosomal RNA is filed under the name uncultured bacterium. RNAcentral's name for it is "bacterial SSU rRNA". It matches the Rfam family "Bacterial small subunit ribosomal RNA", at positions 13 to 635 of the family's 1533-position model. The record is from RNAcentral.
AGGAUCCUGGCUCAGGAUGAACGCUAGCGGCAGGCUUAAUACAUGCAAGUCGUGGGGCAGCAGCUUUGUAGCAAUACAGAGGCUGGCGACCGGCAAACGGGUGCGGAACACGUACGCAAUCUACCCAAAACUGGUGAAUAGCCCUCCGAAAGGAGGAUUAAUACACCGUAACCUAUUGAAGUGGCAUCACUUUAUUAGUAUAGCUCCGGCGGUUUUGGAUGAGCGUGCGGCUGAUUAGAUAGUUGGCGGGGUAACGGCCCACCAAGUCUGCGAUCAGUAACUGGUGUGAGAGCACGACCAGUCACACGGGCACUGAGACACGGGCCCGACUCCUACGGGAGGCAGCAGUAAGGAAUAUUGGUCAAUGGACGCAAGUCUGAACCAGCCAUGCCAGCGUGAACGGAUGAAGGUCCUCUGGAUUGUAAACUUCUUUUAUAGAGGGACGAAACCUCUUUAUUCUAAAGAGACUGACGGUACCCUAGGAAUAAGCACCGGACUAACUCCGUGACCAGCAGACCGCGGUAAUACGGAGGGUGCAAGCGUUAUCCGGAUUCACUGGGUUUAAAAGGGUGCGUAGGAAGGCANGUAAGUCAAUGGUGAAAUCUCCAAGGCUUAACUUGAGAAACUGCCGUNCGAUAACUA